This 235-nucleotide ribosomal RNA is filed under the name uncultured bacterium. Its description in RNAcentral is "partial 16S ribosomal RNA". It matches the Rfam family "Bacterial small subunit ribosomal RNA", at positions 85 to 334 of the family's 1533-position model. The record is from RNAcentral.
CGUGAGUACAGUGGCGUACGGGUGAGUAACACGUGGAUGAUCUACCCUGGAGUGGGGAAUAACGCUGGGAAACCGGCGCUAAUACCGCAUAAUCCCGAGAGGGCAAAGGAGCAAUUCGCUUCAGGAGGAGUCCGCGGCCGAUUAGCUUGUUGGCAGGGUAAAAGCCUACCAAGGCAACGAUCGGUAGCCGGCCUGAGAGGGCACACGGCCACACUGGCACUGAAACACGGGCCAG